AUGGAUAGCUCUAAAUUAACGUUCUGUUGUUGGAACGUGCGGGGUCUAGGCACCAAAAAAUGUAAUGAUAUUCUAGCUGAACUCAUCUCAAUCAAACACGCCUGUUUCCUUCAAGAAACUAAGAUAACUACACCUGACUCUUCAAAAAUCAAAUCCAUUAUACCAAGAAAGCUAGAUCUCACCUUUCACAAAAACGCUGCCGGCUCAUUUGGGGGCCUACUUGCGGCCCUGUCAUCUGCAAACUUCUCUAACGCGUCGCAGACUCACUCUACCUUCCUCCAAUCCGGUACCCUCCACUCUCUAGCUACCCCUCUACCGCUCCUCAUCACUAACGUGUAUGCCCCUACUGACCACACCCUCAAACAAGAAUUUCUCAACGAUUUAACUACUGCUGCUCCACCCCCAAACCUCCCGUUGUUAGUAUGCGGUGACUUUAACCUAAUGAGAUAUGCUCAUGAUAAAAACAACGACUCCUUCCAUCAGAAUGAAGCCGACCUCUUUAAUCUUUGCAUUAAUAACAUUGCCCUCAUAGAGUUACCCCUUCUAGAUUGACGUUUCACCUAGUCGAAUAAGCGAGACAAGCCUACUCUAGAACAUCUCGAUCGAGUUUUCGUGAAUGAUGUGUGGGAUCAAAUUUUUCCGGACUCUUCUAUUUCAAGCUUAACUCGCUUUAUCUCAGACCAUGUGUAA
RNAcentral lists this ribosomal RNA (690 nucleotides) under Triticum aestivum (bread wheat). Its description in RNAcentral is "partial small subunit ribosomal RNA". Lineage: Eukaryota; Viridiplantae; Streptophyta; Magnoliopsida; Poales; Poaceae. The record is from RNAcentral.